CUACGGGAGGCAGCAGUGGGGAAUAUUGCACAAUGGAGGAAACUCUGAUGCAGCAACGCCGCGUGGAGGAUGACACUUUUCGGAGCGUAAACUCCUUUUAUAUAGGAAGAAGAUGACGGUACUAUAUGAAUAAGCGCCGGCUAACUCCGUGCCAGCAGCCGCGGUAUACGGAGGGCGCAAGCGUUACUCGGAAUCACUGGGCGUAAAGAGCGUGUAGGCGGAUUAAAAAGUCAGAAGUGAAAUCCUAUAGCUUAACUAUAGAACUGCUUCUGAAACUCUUAAUCUAGAAUAUGGGAGAGGUAGAUGGAAUUUCUGGUGUAGGGGUAAAAUCCGUAGAGAUCAGAAGGAAUACCGAUUGCGAAGGCGAUCUACUAGAACAUUAUUGACGCUGAGACGCGAAAGCGUGGGGAGCAAACGGGAUUAGAUACCCUCGUAGUC
RNAcentral lists this ribosomal RNA (438 nucleotides) under uncultured bacterium. RNAcentral's name for it is "partial 16S ribosomal RNA". It matches the Rfam family "Bacterial small subunit ribosomal RNA", at positions 339 to 795 of the family's 1533-position model. The record is from RNAcentral.